AUGGAUAUAACUGGAAAAAAAGAAGAUGAGUCCCAAGAAAACCCUUCUGACAAUUCAGUUCCAGAAGUAAGUUCUGAGCGCACCGAAGAUGAUGAUAUAUCUAAAUUGGGCAAGCAAGAUUCAGACUCUAAUACUUCUGAUUUAACUCCUAGACACAGCUUCAGAGAUUAUGAGAUAGUUCACAUAGACGAGGAACCUUCAUCUCCUAAAACAAUUGAUUGUAAGCACAUCUCUCAACUUGUUGAUCCAUUACCAGAUGGAGAAUGUUUUGAUUAUGCUGGUAGCAUAAAUCCUUCUAUGAAGAUGAGAAAACAGCGUUAUCAGAAGAAAGAGGAGAUCGCCGAAGGUAUAUCUGAGCUCGUAAAGAAGAAGCAAUACCCGGUGAAUAAGUUGAACGACCUGUACAAUACUCUUGUCGCUAAUAGCAAGUUCCGAGGUUUACGUAAGACACGACGACGCAAUGAUAAUGAAACAGGUGGUACCAAGAUAAGGAUAGGUCCAACUUCUGUAACAGAAAGAGAGUUAGUACAAUGUCUAAUGCCAAAAGGAAAGAUGUGCAAAAAUAUGAUGUGGUUACUGUCCGUGGCACUUAUGUAUGAUUGGGGAUCAAAGACCAAGCUUAUAUUGGAUCAGACUAUUAUAACCGAAUUGCUAAAAAAAGGAAAUAAAUGCAACCAUGCAUAUCUGUGCAAGAAGCUUAGUAAGUUGGCACUUGAAAAUGUUGAGCAUUGGGCAAUGGAUGUCUUCAGGAAGGAAAUAUGCUAUAUCCUUGUUUACCACCGCUUCAAUGAUCUCAAUCCAAGGAGGCCUGAGAUUAAGAAGAUAGCAUCCGCCGUGAAGACAACAACAGACUGA
Molecule: ribosomal RNA, 855 nt
Filed under: Triticum aestivum (bread wheat)
Lineage: Eukaryota; Viridiplantae; Streptophyta; Magnoliopsida; Poales; Poaceae
Description: partial small subunit ribosomal RNA
Source: RNAcentral